RNAcentral lists this ribosomal RNA (423 nucleotides) under uncultured bacterium. RNAcentral's name for it is "bacterial SSU rRNA". It matches the Rfam family "Bacterial small subunit ribosomal RNA", at positions 8 to 431 of the family's 1533-position model. The record is from RNAcentral.
AGAGUUUGAUCCUGGCUCAGAUUGAACGCUGGCGGCAUGCCUUACACAUGCAAGUCGAACGGCAGCACGGGAGCAAUCCUGGUGGCGAGUGGCGAACGGGUGAGUAAUAUAUCGGAACGUGCCCAGUCGUGGGGGAUAACGCAGCGAAAGCUGUGCUAAUACCGCAUACGAUCUCUGGAUGAAAGCGGGGGACUCGCAAGGGCCUCGCGCGAUUGGAGCGGCCGAUAUCAGAUUAGCUAGUUGGUGGGGUAAAAGCCCACCAAGGCGACGAUCUGUAGCUGGUCUGGGAGGACGACCAGCCACACUGGAACUGAGACACGGUCCAGACUCCUACGGGAGGCAGCAGUGGGGUAUUUUGGACAAUGGGCGCAAGCCUGAUCCAGCAAUGCCGCGUGCAGGAUGAAGGCCUUCGGGUUGUAAACU